Molecule: long non-coding RNA, 600 nt
Organism: Hippocampus comes (tiger tail seahorse)
Lineage: Eukaryota; Metazoa; Chordata; Actinopteri; Syngnathiformes; Syngnathidae
Exons: 2
Source: RefSeq, a predicted model, not a curated record
AAAUAAACAUAAACGGAGUCCUACAAUGACUCUUGUAGUUAAUUAUACCGAGUGAAUUAAGUAGAUUACCAUGUAUCAGAUAUUGAAUAUAUUUUUGGGGCCUAAGAGCCUCUAAAAAGAAGGGAAAAAAAUCAAUUGAAAUAAAAAGAUAAAAAGGCAUUUGGAUGACAGUUUUAGGCAAUACAAACCAUCCACAUUCAUAUACCACACAUUUCCGAAAGGACAUUACUGGCUAUUUGGUUAUUCUUCUGUGAUGGCUGAAAAAAGAUGUGAGUUUUGACAGAAAACCUAUAAAUGACCAAAACAACAUCCUUAAGUUAGAAAAAUAAGGAAAGCUCCACCACCAAUGAUCUUGCCAUCAUUUAGACACACAAAGAAGCUUCCAAAAUGCAAAAGAUCCCAAAGGAGGAUUGAACCUGAGAAAUGGAGGAGUGCAAUCUUAGUUGAACCACUUGCAGGUGUAUAAUACGAAUAAUUAUGAGGGUCUUUUUUUUUCUUUUUGUGAAAAGCAUACUCAGCAGGAAAAAAUAGAUUGGAGGCAUACUCUGAAGAAGGCAGGUGAAUCAAAAUGACAAUCGAUGAUCAAACAGCUUUUGAGGA